UUUAAUUGGAGAGUUUGAUCCUGGCUCAGAAUGAACGCUGGCGGCGUGCUUAACACAUGCAAGUCGUACGAGAACUCUUCUGCUUGCAGAAGAAAGUAAAGUGGCGUACGGGUGAGUAACGCGUGGGUAAUCUACCCUCAAAUCGGGGAUAACAACGCGAAAGCGAUGCUAAUACCGGAUAAUAUCACAUGAACAAUGGUUUUUGUGAUUAAAGGUGGCCUCUAUAUAUAAGCUACCGUUUGAAGAUGAGCCCGCGUACCAUUAGCUAGUUGGUAGGGUAAUGGCCUACCAAGGCUUCGAUGGUUAGCUGGUCUGAGAGGAUGAUCAGCCACACUGGAACUGACACACGGUCCAGACUCCUACGGGAGGCAGCAGUGAGGAAUUUUGCGCAAUGGGGGAAACCCUGACGCAGCAACGCCGCGUGAGUGAUGAAGGCUU
RNAcentral lists this ribosomal RNA (438 nucleotides) under Desulfobacteraceae bacterium. RNAcentral's name for it is "bacterial SSU rRNA". It matches the Rfam family "Bacterial small subunit ribosomal RNA", at positions 1 to 417 of the family's 1533-position model. Lineage: Bacteria; Pseudomonadati; Thermodesulfobacteriota; Desulfobacteria; Desulfobacterales; Desulfobacteraceae. The record is from RNAcentral.